This 253-nucleotide ribosomal RNA is filed under the name bacterium. Its description in RNAcentral is "partial 16S ribosomal RNA". It matches the Rfam family "Bacterial small subunit ribosomal RNA", at positions 524 to 776 of the family's 1533-position model. The record is from RNAcentral. RNAcentral also lists the same sequence under 1 other name.
UACGAAGGGGGCUAGCGUUGUUCGGAAUUACUGGGCGUAAAGGGCGCGUAGGCGGCCCUGUCAGUCAAGCGUGAAAGCCCCGGGCUCAACCUGGGAAUUGCGCCUGAUACUGCAGGGCUUGAGGGUCGGAGAGGAUGGUGGAAUUCCCAGUGUAGAGGUGAAAUUCGUAGAUAUUGGGAAGAACACCGGUGGCGAAGGCGGCCAUCUGGACGACAUCUGACGCUGAGGCGCGAAAGCGUGGGGAGCAAACAGG